GUUUUGAUCCUGGCUCAGAUUGAACGCUGGCGGCAGGCCUAACACAUGCAAGUCGAGCGGAUGAGAAGAGCUUGCUCUUCGAUUCAGCGGCGGACGGGUGAGUAAUGCCUAGGAAUCUGCCUGGUAGUGGGGGACAACGUUUCGAAAGGAACGCUAAUACCGCAUACGUCCUACGGGAGAAAGCAGGGGACCUUCGGGCCUUGCGCUAUCAGAUGAGCCUAGGUCGGAUUAGCUAGUUGGUGAGGUAAUGGCUCACCAAGGCUACGAUCCGUAACUGGUCUGAGAGGAUGAUCAGUCACACUGGAACUGAGACACGGUCCAGACUCCUACGGGAGGCAGCAGUGGGGAAUAUUGGACAAUGGGCGAAAGCCUGAUCCAGCCAUGCCGCGUGUGUGAAGAAGGUCUUCGGAUUGUAAAGCACUUUAAGUUGGGAGGAAGGGCAGUAAGCUAAUACCUUGCUGUUUUGACGUUACCGACAGAAUAAGCACCGGCUAACUCUGUGCCAGCAGCCGCGGUAAUACAGAGGGUGCAAAGCGUUAAUCGGAAUUACUGGGCGUAAAGCGCGCGUAUGUGGUUUGUUAAGUUGGAUGUGAAAGCCCCGGGCUCAACCUGGGAACUGCAUCCAAAACUGGCAAGCUAGAGUAUGGUAGAGGGUGGUGGAAUUUCCUGUGUAGCGGUGAAAU
This 683-nucleotide ribosomal RNA is filed under the name uncultured Pseudomonas sp. RNAcentral describes it as "bacterial SSU rRNA". It matches the Rfam family "Bacterial small subunit ribosomal RNA", at positions 11 to 687 of the family's 1533-position model. Lineage: Bacteria; Pseudomonadati; Pseudomonadota; Gammaproteobacteria; Pseudomonadales; Pseudomonadaceae. The record is from RNAcentral.